RNAcentral lists this ribosomal RNA (399 nucleotides) under bacterium enrichment culture clone ALO1_GLFRUDD03GZAR8. RNAcentral's name for it is "bacterial SSU rRNA". It matches the Rfam family "Bacterial small subunit ribosomal RNA", at positions 9 to 407 of the family's 1533-position model. The record is from RNAcentral.
GAGUUUGAUCAUGGCUCAGAUUGAACGCUGGCGGCAUGCCUUACACAUGCAAGUCGAACGGCAGCACGGGAGCUUGCUCCUGGUGGCGAGUGGCGAACGGGUGAGUAAUGCAUCGGAACGUAUCCUGGAGUGGGGGAUAACGUAGCGAAAGUUACGCUAAUACCGCAUAUUCUGUGAGCAGGAAAGCGGGGGACCUUCGGGCCUCGCGCUCUUGGGGCGGCCGAUGUCGGAUUAGCUAGUUGGUGAGGUAAAGGACUCACCAAGGCGACGAUCCGUAGCAGGUCUGAGAGGAUGAUCUGCCACACUGGAACUGAGACACGGUCCAGACUCCUACGGGAGGCAGCAGUGGGGAAUUUUGGACAAUGGGGGCAACCCUGAUCCAGCCAUGCCGCGUGAGUG